This 418-nucleotide ribosomal RNA is filed under the name bacterium enrichment culture clone ALO1_GLFRUDD03G53W2. Its description in RNAcentral is "bacterial SSU rRNA". It matches the Rfam family "Bacterial small subunit ribosomal RNA", at positions 9 to 429 of the family's 1533-position model. The record is from RNAcentral.
GAGUUUGAUCGUGGCUCAGAUUGAACGCUGGCGGCGUGCCUUACACAUGCAAGUCGAACGGCAGCACGGGAGCUUGCUCCUGGUGGCGAGUGGCGAACGGGUGAGUAAUGCAUCGGAACGUAUCCUGGAGUGGGGGAUAACGUAGCGAAAGUUACGCUAAUACCGCAUAUUCUGUGAGCAGGAAAGCGGGGGACCUUCGGGCCUCGCGCUCUUGGAGCGGCCGAUGUCGGAUUAGCUAGUUGGUGAGGUAAAGGCUCACCAAGGCGACGAUCCGUAGCAGGUCUGAGAGGAUGAUCUGCCACACUGGAACUGAGACACGGUCCAGACUCCUACGGGAGGCAGCAGUGGGGAAUUUUGGACAAUGGGGGCAACCCUGAUCCAGCCAUGCCGCGUGAGUGAAGAAGGCCUCGGUUGUAAG